RNAcentral lists this ribosomal RNA (624 nucleotides) under uncultured fungus. Its description in RNAcentral is "eukaryotic LSU rRNA". It matches the Rfam family "Eukaryotic large subunit ribosomal RNA", at positions 24 to 664 of the family's 3401-position model. The record is from RNAcentral. Lineage: Eukaryota; Fungi.
CCCGCUGAACUUAAGCAUAUCAAUAAGCGCAGGAAAAGAAACCAACAGGGAUUGCCUCAGUAACGGCGAGUGAAGCGGCAACAGCUCAAAUUUGAAAUCUGGCCUCUUGGGGUCCGAGUUGUAAUUUGUAGAGGAUGUUUUGGGUACCGCCCCGGUUUAAAUUUCUUGGAACAGAAUGUCAGAGAGGGUGAGAAUCCCGUCUUGGACCGGCGGUAGGGCCUGUGUAAAACUCCCUCGACGAGUCGAGUUGUUUGGGAAUGCAGCUCAAAAUGGGUGGUAAAUUUCAUCUAAAGCUAAGUAUUGGCCAGAGACCGAUAGCGCACAAGUAGAGUGAUCGAAAGAUGAAAAGCACUUUGAAAAGAGAGUUAAACAGUAUGUGAAAUUGUUGAAAGGGAAGCGCUUGCAAUCAGACUUGAGCGCGGCGGUUCCCCCAGCCUUUUGGCUGGGCUACUCCGUCGUGUCCAGGCCAACAUCGGUUCUGAGGGUCGGUCAAAGGCUCUGGGAAUGUAUCUACCCACGGGUAGACUUAUAGACCAGGGUGUCAUGCGGCCUCUCGGGACCGAGGAACGCGCUUCGGCUCGGAUGUUGGCGUAAUGGUUGUCAGCGACCCGUCUUGAAACACGG